UACAGAGGGGGCAAGCGUUGUUCGGAAUUACUGGGCGUAAAGGGCGCGUAGGCGGCCUGCUAAGUCGAAUGUGAAAUCCCCGGGCUCAACCCGGGAACUGCGUCCGAUACUGGCAGGCUUGAAUCCGGGAGAGGGAUGUGGAAUUCCAGGUGUAGCGGUGAAAUGCGUAGAUAUCUGGAGGAACACCGGUGGCGAAGGCGGCAUCCUGGACCGGUAUUGACGCUGAUGCGCGAAAGCCAGGGGAGCAAACGGG
RNAcentral lists this ribosomal RNA (253 nucleotides) under uncultured bacterium. RNAcentral's name for it is "partial 16S ribosomal RNA". It matches the Rfam family "Bacterial small subunit ribosomal RNA", at positions 524 to 776 of the family's 1533-position model. The record is from RNAcentral.